This 2089-nucleotide long non-coding RNA is filed under the name Marmota monax (woodchuck). The record is from RNAcentral. Lineage: Eukaryota; Metazoa; Chordata; Mammalia; Rodentia; Sciuridae.
UCUGGAUAAUGUAAUUUUCUGUUUAACUGAGUUCUUAAAAUUUAAGCAUUUAAUAAAAUGGAUGGUAAACCUGUUAAUUUAAUGUUCAAUUGAUCCUGACCCAGAUCUUGGAUGAUCUCUGAUAAGUAUUUGUGAUUAUUAUAGCACUAGAUGGCUGGCAAAGAUAUGAGAUUAUAGUGACUAUCCUAGAAACAUAUCCUGAACAUCUGCUUGUUGAGAGCAAUGGAUUUGUCUUUGUGGUUUUUUAAACAUUUUUAUUAGUUGUUGAUGGGCCUUUAUUUUAUUUAUUUAUAUUCAGUGCUGAGAAUCGAACCCACUGCCUCACACAUGCUAGGCAAGUGCUUGCUCCACCACUGAGCCACAACCCCAGCCCUUUUGUACUUUUUUUAACAGAUAUUUUCAUCAGCUUAUUUUUCCUCAUUUUCCCUUUCCUAAAAGCAGAGUUUUUGAUUGUUUUGUUGCAAAUUACUUGAGAUCUUGCAGGGUGUGGCUUCUGGGUUCUUCAGGGAAGGAAUUCCUGUUUUAAUUGUUAAACCACACUUCAAAGGUAAUGUAAAGAAUCUGCUGAAUUAUUUAUGAAUGUUAAGACUCAUUACACUUUAAUGUUUCAUGAAUAAUUUUACUAUGUUAAUAUUUUGGGCUUUUUUAUUAUAUCUAGUUAAAAAAUCUAAGUUUAGAAGAACUGCAGAUGCGGUUAAAAGCACUGGACCCCAUGAUGGAACGAGAAAUAGAAGAACUUCGUCAAAGAUACACUGCAAAAAGACAGCCUAUUCUGGAUGCAAUGGAUGCAAAGAAAAGAAGGCAGCAAAACUUUUGAGUCUAAUUUCUCUCUGUUUUAUAGCUACUCUACAGACCAAGAAACCACUAAGAAUUAAAAGAAUACUAUGAGGUUUUUUUUAAUCCCUAAGAUUUAUGCUCUACAGCUAGGCAAAGAUCAAAAACUAAUGAUGGCACAUAUCUAUGAAAGUUCCCAAAAGACACAAUUUACAAUUGUUUCCACUGUGUUUUCAUUUUUAAACUAUGAGAACAAUAGAAAUGUGUUCUUCUCUCUCUCUCUCUGUCAGCUGAAUACCAGCAAUAAGGCUGUUAUGAAAUGAAGGCUGUAUUUAGAGACCUUGAAGAUCCAAAGCUAUUGUUUAAUUGUAUAGCAAUGAAGGGCUUUAUGUUAUAAUAUUCUUUACCUAGAAGCCUAUUUAUUAUUGUAUCUUCUUAGGUAGACUUAUUUAUUUAUGCUAUUUCACUUAGUUUUGUUUUUAAAAGGCAGGACAGGAUAGUUUUAUGAAGGUUAACAGUGAUAAUGUACAACCAAAUUAUAUUUUAAGCAGGGAGCUAGGGGUACAUACCUUGAUUUCCAGGAUAGUUUUCCAAUAAAAGCAAAGUGUAAUAGCAGUAGUACCCAAAUGGGCUAGGCUUUUUUAUAUUGAAGCAAUAAAUUUUUACUUUUCAAAAUUUUGAUUUUUUGAUUUUUGAUAUUUGGUACAAGUAGAAAUAUAUAUAUAUAUAUAUAUAUAUAUAUAUAUAUAUAUAUAUAUAUAUAUAUAUAUAUAGUCAAACAGACCAAUAAUGUUUAAAACCAAAGAAAUGAAUGAAACUUGCACAAAAGAAAGUAUAGUAAAUAUUUUUAAAUAAAUGAAACCUUAAGACGAAUGUAAUUUGUUAAUAUUGUUUCAUGUUUCUUGUAUAGGUCUCUUAGCUAAACUGAAUCAAACUGUAAUAAGCUCAUCAACCUUAUUUCUGUGAAAGUGUGCUCUGUAUAGUCACAGGGCUUGUUGUUGAUUUCAUUUAUUUCCUGGAAUUGGUAAACAUCAUGUGCCUGAUGAUAACAAAAUAGCAAAAACAUUUGUACUAAACUGUGCAAGCCUUGGGGACUGGGGGGUGGGGGAAUGGUUAAAAGCAUUAAAAAGAAACUCAUUUCUAAGCUGAAUGAACAUUUGUAUAAUUGAACUGGGACCAGUUGUUUCCUAAGCUACAUAUGGCCAUCUUGACAGUGUUUGUUCUUUUCUGUCUUUAAUUAUUAUGUGUAAGUCAUAAAGAAAAAUAAAUUUUACUGUGUCACCCAGCACAUUUCAUCUCUGUAUCUUUUUUAAAA